This 21-nucleotide non-coding RNA is filed under the name Arabidopsis thaliana (thale cress). The record is from RNAcentral. Lineage: Eukaryota; Viridiplantae; Streptophyta; Magnoliopsida; Brassicales; Brassicaceae.
CUUCUUCAUGGUUCUCAUCUU